ACCGUACUCCUACGGGAGGCAGCAGUGGGGAAUUUUGGACAAUGGGGGCAACCCUGAUCCAGCAAUGCCGCGUGAGUGAAGAAGGCCUUCGGGUUGUAAAGCUCUUUUUGUCAGGGAAGAAACGGUAGUAGCUAAUAUCUAUUACUAAUGACGGUACCUGAAGAAUAAGCACCGGCUAACUACGUGCCAGCAGCCGCGGUAAUACGUAGGGUGCAAGCGUUAAUCGGAAUUACUGGGCGUAAAGCGUGCGCAGGCGGUUGUGUAAGUCAGAUGUGAAAUCCCCGGGCUCAACCUGGGAAUUGCAUUUGAGACUGCACGGCUAGAGUGUGUCAGAGGGGGGUAGAAUUCCACGUGUAGCAGUGAAAUGCGUAGAUAUGUGGAGGAAUACCGAUGGCGAAGGCAGGUCCCUGGGCUGAUACUGACGCUCAUGCACGAAAGCGUGGGGAGCAAACAGGAUUAGAUACCCGGGUAGUCCUUGAC
Molecule: ribosomal RNA, 480 nt
Filed under: uncultured bacterium
Lineage: Bacteria
Description: bacterial SSU rRNA
Rfam family: Bacterial small subunit ribosomal RNA
Source: RNAcentral